RNAcentral lists this ribosomal RNA (254 nucleotides) under uncultured bacterium. RNAcentral's name for it is "partial 16S ribosomal RNA". It matches the Rfam family "Bacterial small subunit ribosomal RNA", at positions 524 to 776 of the family's 1533-position model. The record is from RNAcentral.
UACGGGGGGAGCAAGCGUUGUUCGGAUUUACUGGGCGUAAAGGGCGCGUAGGCGGUCAGUGCAAGUCAGUUGUGAAAUCUCCGGGCUUAACUCGGAAAGGUCAACUGAUACUGCUCGACUAGAGUGCGGAAGGGGCAACUGGAAUUCUUGGUGUAGCGGUGAAAUGCGUAGAUAUCGAGAGGAACACCUGCGGCGAAGGCGGGUUGCUGGGCUGACACUGACGCUGAGGCGCGAAAGCUAGGGGAGCGAACGGG